GAAGGUUGGCUAAUCCUGGUCGGACAUCAGGAGGUUAGUGCAAUGGCAUAAGCCAGCUUGACUGCGAGCGUGACGGCGCGAGCAGGUGCGAAAGCAGGUCAUAGUGAUCCGGUGGUUCUGAAUGGAAGGGCCAUCGCUCAACGGAUAAAAGGUACUCCGGGGAUAACAGGCUGAUACCGCCCAAGAGUUCAUAUCGACGGCGGUGUUUGGCACCUCGAUGUCGGCUCAUCACAUCCUGGGGCUGAAGUAGGUCCCAAGGGUAUGGCUGUUCGCCAUUUAAAGUGGUACGCGAGCUGGGUUUAGAACGUCGUGAGACAGUUCGGUCCCUAUCUGCCGUGGGCGCUGGAGAACUGAGGGGGGCUGCUCCUAGUACGAGAGGACCGGAGUGGACGCAUCACUGGUGUUCGGGUUGUCAUGCCAAUGGCACUGCCCGGUAGCUAAAUGCGGAAGAGAUAAGUGCUGAAAGCAUCUAAGCACGAAACUUGCCCCGA
RNAcentral lists this ribosomal RNA (491 nucleotides) under Salmonella enterica subsp. enterica serovar Enteritidis. RNAcentral describes it as "partial 23S ribosomal RNA". It matches the Rfam family "Bacterial large subunit ribosomal RNA", at positions 2312 to 2802 of the family's 2925-position model. Lineage: Bacteria; Pseudomonadati; Pseudomonadota; Gammaproteobacteria; Enterobacterales; Enterobacteriaceae. The record is from RNAcentral.